CAAGCGUUGCUAUCAUUUCCGAAAAUACCCGAACAUUCCCGAAGCUGUUCGAGAACUUUCUAACUGAGAACGAGAUUGUUCGAGCAUAUUCCCGAUCUCGAGAGUACAUUAUAUAAAGUUUGGAACAUGGCUGCUGUUAGUAAACAGCAUAACUUAAAAGUUGAUAUUGUGAGUUUUGCCUUGCAGUUUAGUGAUUAUCUGAUAAUAAUAUGGCUUUGCUUAGUUUGUGGGAAGACUUGAAUCCCAACAAACGUCAAUGUUGGCGUAAACGAAGAUGCUAUCCUGUCAUGGAAAUAAUAGAUGAAAUGUCCGAUUUGGAGAAUUUUCCUUGCAUCGUAUUCUCUGAUGGACUGGAUGGGAAGCGAAUGAAACUGUCUGAUGGACGAGAGGACGGUGAAUUCUCGAUGGAACUGGAAGAAACUAAGGGAUAUACUCCAGAAGAGUUAACGGUAAAAGUGAAGGGAAGAGAAGUGGAG
This 476-nucleotide long non-coding RNA is filed under the name Androctonus crassicauda. The record is from RNAcentral. Lineage: Eukaryota; Metazoa; Arthropoda; Arachnida; Scorpiones; Buthidae.